ACAGCUGCACAACAGGAAGAAAUGCAUGCAUUGCAGGUUCUCUGACAUUGCAGCAUCCGAGUCCUUGAAGAAGAAGCACCAGUUGAGUUUCUGCCUGUCACACACAAGCCCUGGCCUGGGUGGGUGGUAACAGCUUGGUGCAACAGCCUGCAGCUUCAGCUCCAGGCAGCUGGGGAAUAGACACUCUCACUCUUUCUCAGCAUCCCAUCGCUUGUACUUAAACAUCUUUAUUAAUGGCUUGAAGGAGGACACAUUAGCCUUGGUCAAGAGCACCUAUUUAGUUCCACGCAAGAGGAAUGAAUGCAGGAUAACCUUCCUCCUUAGAUGACAAUGGAGGAUCCAGCACAGAGACAGGAGGAGC
Long non-coding RNA from Lacerta agilis (Sand lizard), 361 nucleotides. RefSeq lists it as uncharacterized. The transcript has 3 exons. The record is from RefSeq and is a predicted model, not a curated record. NCBI's taxonomy places the organism in Eukaryota, Metazoa, Chordata, Lepidosauria, Squamata, Lacertidae.